CCUACGGGUGGCAGCAGUGGGGAAUAUUGCACAAUGGGGGAAACCCUGAUGCAGCGACACCGCGUGAGCGAUGAAGUAUCUCGGUAUGUAAAGCUCUAUCAGCAGGGAAGAAAAUGACGGUACCUGACUAAGCCGCCCCGGCUAACUACGUGCCAGCAGCCGCGGUCAUACGUAGGGGGCAAGCGUUAUCCGGAUUUACUGGGUGUAAAGGGAGCGUAGACGGCGGGGCAAGCCAGAUGUGAAAUCCCGGGGCUCAACCCCGGGACUGCAUUUGGAACUGUGCGGCUGGAGUGUAGGAGAGGAAGGCGGAAUGCCUAGUGUAGCGGUGAAAUGCGUAGAUAUUAGGAGGAACACCAGUGGCGAAGGCGGCCUGCUGGACGGUGACUGACGUUGAGGCUCGAAAGCGUGGGGAGCAAACAGGAUUAGAUACCCUGGUAGUC
RNAcentral lists this ribosomal RNA (440 nucleotides) under uncultured bacterium. RNAcentral's name for it is "partial 16S ribosomal RNA". It matches the Rfam family "Bacterial small subunit ribosomal RNA", at positions 338 to 795 of the family's 1533-position model. The record is from RNAcentral.